GCCUGGCUAGCUCAGUCGGUAGAGCAUGAGACUCUUAAUCUCAGGGUCGUGGGUUUGAGCCCCAUGUUGGGGG
This 73-nucleotide transfer RNA is filed under the name Danio rerio (zebrafish). It matches the Rfam family "tRNA". From Rfam's summary of the family: Transfer RNA (tRNA) molecules are approximately 80 nucleotides in length. Lineage: Eukaryota; Metazoa; Chordata; Actinopteri; Cypriniformes; Danionidae. The record is from Rfam by way of RNAcentral.